ACGAACGGCUGGCGGCGUGCUUAAACACAUGCAAGUCGAACGAGAGGAGAAGGAAGCUUGCUUCUUUCAAAUCUAGUGGACAAACGGGUGAGUAACACGUAAACAACCUGCCUUCAGGAUGGGGACAACAGACGGAAACGACUGCUAAUACCGAAUACGUUCCUUAGGUCGCAUGAUCUUAGGAAGAAAGGGUGGCCUCUACCUGUAAGCUAUCGCCUGAAGAGGGGUUUGCGUCUGAUUAGGUAGUUGGUGAGGUAACGGCUCACCAAGUCGACGAUCAGUAGCCGGACUGAGAGGUUGAACGGCCACAUUGGGACUGAGAUACGGCCCAGACUCCUACGGGAGGCAGCAGUGGGGAAUAUUGGGCAAUGGGCGAAAGCCUGACCCAGCAACGCCGCGUGAAGGAAGAAGGCUUUCGGGUUGUAAACUUCUUUUACCAGGGACGAAGGACGUGACGGUACCUGGAGAAAAAGCCACGGCUAACUACGUG
Molecule: ribosomal RNA, 490 nt
Filed under: uncultured bacterium
Lineage: Bacteria
Description: bacterial SSU rRNA
Rfam family: Bacterial small subunit ribosomal RNA
Source: RNAcentral